Molecule: non-coding RNA, 201 nt
Filed under: Deltaproteobacteria bacterium
Lineage: Bacteria; Pseudomonadati; Myxococcota; Myxococcia
Source: RNAcentral
CCCCCUCCUGUCGUAGCUGGCGUUGUUUGAAAUGUUCCACCCAGGGCGGAACCGGGGAAGACGGUGCGAAUCCGUCGCUGCCCCGCAUCUGUUACCGGAACGAAACCCGCACGAAGCCACUGUCCCGCAUCUCGGGAUGGGAAGGCGCGGGAAGUAGGCCGCCGGAAGCCAGAAGAUCCGGGCCGCCCUGCAUCAACCCAC